This 372-nucleotide ribosomal RNA is filed under the name uncultured organism. RNAcentral describes it as "bacterial SSU rRNA". It matches the Rfam family "Bacterial small subunit ribosomal RNA", at positions 526 to 896 of the family's 1533-position model. The record is from RNAcentral.
CGUAGGGGGCAAGCGUUGUCCGGAUUUACUGGGCGUAAAGAGCACGUAGGCGGAGAUCUAAGCGUGGCCUGAAAGCCCCCGGCUCAACCGGGGAGUGCGGCUGCGAACUGGGUUUCUUGAGGACGAUAGAGGAGAGUGGAAUUCCUGGCGUAGCGGUGAAAUGCGUAGAUAUCAGGAGGAACACCCGAGGCGAAGGCGGCUCUCUGGGUCGUACCUGACGCUGAGGCGCGAAAGCGUGGGGAGCGAACGGGAUUAGAUACCCCGGUAGUCCACGCCGUAAACGAUGGUCACUAGGUGUGUGUGGUAUCGACCCCGCACGUGCCGCAGCUAACGCAAUAAGUGACCCGCCUGGGGAGUACGGCCGCAAGGUUG